UUUUAGCACAUCGGCAAGGCAACAGCUGAAGAUGGUGGAAGACUACAAAUCAUCGUCGAAAAACUAAGUGAACUGAGUAAAAAAGUUAAUAGUGACAACCUAAGCGACGAUGAAAAAAAAGUAAGUU
Cydia pomonella (codling moth) is the source of this 127-nucleotide long non-coding RNA. RefSeq lists it as uncharacterized. The record is from RefSeq and is a predicted model, not a curated record. Lineage: Eukaryota; Metazoa; Arthropoda; Insecta; Lepidoptera; Tortricidae. The transcript is spliced from 3 exons.